RNAcentral lists this ribosomal RNA (445 nucleotides) under uncultured bacterium. RNAcentral's name for it is "bacterial SSU rRNA". It matches the Rfam family "Bacterial small subunit ribosomal RNA", at positions 354 to 796 of the family's 1533-position model. The record is from RNAcentral.
GUGAGGAAUAUUGGUCAAUGGGCGAGAGCCUGAACCAGCCAAGUAGCGUGCAGGAAGACUGCCCUAUGGGUUGUAAACUGCUUUUAUGCGGGAAUAAAGUGAGGCACGCGUGCCUUUUUGUAUGUACCGCAUGAAUAAGGACCGGCUAAUUCCGUGCCAGCAGCCGCGGUAAUACGGAAGGUCCGGGCGUUAUCCGGAUUUAUUGGGUUUAAAGGGAGCGCAGGCGGGUUAUUAAGCGUGUUGUGAAAUGCGGCGGCUCAACCGUCGAAUUGCAGCGCGAACUGGUUACCUUGAGUGAGUACGACGUCAGCGGAAUUCGUGGUGUAGCGGUGAAAUGCUUAGAUAUCACGAAGAACCCCGAUUGCGAAGGCAGCUGACGAGUCCUUAACUGACGCUAAUGCUCGAAAGUGCGGGUAUCGAACAGGAUUAGAAACCCUAGUAGUCC